GUGCUCGCUUCGGCAGCUCAUGUACUAAAAUUGGAAUGAUACAAAGAUUAGCACGGCCCCUGCGCAAGGAUGAUGUGCAAAUUCCUGAAGGGUUCCAGAAUGAA
RNAcentral lists this small nuclear RNA (104 nucleotides) under Microcebus murinus (gray mouse lemur). Lineage: Eukaryota; Metazoa; Chordata; Mammalia; Primates; Cheirogaleidae. The record is from RNAcentral.